RNAcentral lists this ribosomal RNA (936 nucleotides) under Triticum aestivum (bread wheat). Its description in RNAcentral is "partial small subunit ribosomal RNA". Lineage: Eukaryota; Viridiplantae; Streptophyta; Magnoliopsida; Poales; Poaceae. The record is from RNAcentral.
GAGUUAUGAGUAUAUAUCAUGCUAGCUGUCGAGACGCGGCACAGCGAUACGAACGGGGUGCCACACUGACGGCUGUUCUCGUUCCAGUACUGAAGGUACCGUACUAGCUACGCGAACACCGAGUCUCUUCCUGCUCUAGUGGUGUUGAGAGCGAUCGACAAGUGGCGUGUAUCUCAUGCCUAGUGAACCUUUUCGGAGUUCCUUUUCACUGCACAAGUCGAUGCCUUAGUACGAGGAACUUCAGAAGUGGCCUUUUUCUGGGUGACUACAGUACAAACCGCGUGUUGAUUGAGAAUCCGUCACCCGAGUAGCCCGUAAAGGAUGCCUAGAACAGGUCCAGCAACUGCCGGUUGAAGAUGUACUGAGGAGUUAAAGUCCGACGUCUAACCUGAUACCGAAGAAUCGCAGUCAGAAACUCCACCCAAACGUGACAAGGUCACUGAGAGGACUGGUCUCCUACUGUUACGUGCUGCACCAGCACUGCGACUUCUUCUAGUUUCGGCUCAUGUGUUUUGACCAUCGUCGAUACAGUUGAUCACGUUGUGUCACUUGGCUAGAGUACACGAACGAAUUAAUACAGAACACAUGUAUAUAAAAUGUAGACGUACAUCUUGAUCGCGUGCAUUGAAGUCCAUACCCGUCCUGACUUUAUUCAACAUGACUCCACGUGAUAUGUAAUUUGUGACAAAACAAGAGAGGCUGACACGCUCAUUGUAAGAGCAAGGGAAAGUCAGUACUUGUUUUGACUUGUUCUGGCUUCUCUUAUGCUCAAGUGUAAACCGUACGUGAGACUUAUACACACUCUCGUCGUAACGCCGAGGGAACGAUAACGAGACUGUCAAUGUGUGAAAGACUUUAGACUUGUACUGCUUUCUCUCCGUGUUGGCGUAUUCCGAAGAGACAAAGAUCGACGUCUACGAACAUUCAUCAGUCGUU